UACGGAGGGUGCAGGCGUCAUCCGGAAUCACUGGGUUUAAAGGGUCCGUAGGCGGGUUUAUAAGUCAGUGGUGAAAGUCUGCAGCUCAACUGUAGAAUUGCCACUGAUACUGUUAACCUUGAGUAAUUAUGAAGUGGUUAGAAUAUGUAGUGUAGCGGUGAAAUGCAUAGAUAUUACAUAGAAUACCGAUUGCGAAGGCAGAUCACUAAUAAUUUACUGACGCUGAGGGACGAAAGCGUAGGUAGCGAACAGG
This 253-nucleotide unclassified non-coding RNA is filed under the name uncultured Flavobacteriaceae bacterium. RNAcentral describes it as "contains 16S-23S intergenic spacer region". It matches the Rfam family "Bacterial small subunit ribosomal RNA", at positions 524 to 776 of the family's 1533-position model. The record is from RNAcentral. Lineage: Bacteria; Pseudomonadati; Bacteroidota; Flavobacteriia; Flavobacteriales; Flavobacteriaceae.